AUGGCCGCGCCCCUGCCAGGCCCGCUGCUCUCUCGCGUCGGCGGUAGUGCAGCAGCGGGGCCGCCGGCAGCGACGCGCCCCUACCCACUGCUCUCUCGCAUCAUCCAGGCGCGCGCGACGCCCGCUCGCCCACCCUGGUGUGCUGCUACCGCCGCCGCUGCUUCCUUUGCUUUGGUGCUAUGCUGCUUUGCUACUACUCUGCUCCAUGCUGCUUUGCUACCACUCUGCUCCAUGCUGCUCUGCUGCUCACUACUACUGUUGCGUAUGAUAGAUGAUGCCUUGGUUCUGCGUUAUAGUUGCUGCUGCUCAUGA
Molecule: ribosomal RNA, 312 nt
Filed under: Triticum aestivum (bread wheat)
Lineage: Eukaryota; Viridiplantae; Streptophyta; Magnoliopsida; Poales; Poaceae
Description: partial small subunit ribosomal RNA
Source: RNAcentral